RNAcentral lists this ribosomal RNA (253 nucleotides) under uncultured bacterium. RNAcentral describes it as "partial 16S ribosomal RNA". It matches the Rfam family "Bacterial small subunit ribosomal RNA", at positions 524 to 776 of the family's 1533-position model. The record is from RNAcentral.
UACGGGGGGGGCAAGCGUUGUUCGGAAUUACUGGGCGUAAAGCGCACGUAGGCGGCGCGUUAAGUCGGGUGUGAAAGCCCUGGGCUCAACCCAGGAAGUGCAUUCGAAACUGGCGCGCUUGAAUAUGGAAGAGGGUCGCGGAAUUCCCGGUGUAGAGGUGAAAUUCGUAGAUAUCGGGAGGAACACCAGUGGCGAAGGCGGCGACCUGGGCCAAUAUUGACGCUGAGGUGCGAAAGCGUGGGGAGCAAACAGG